Molecule: long non-coding RNA, 205 nt
Filed under: Lathyrus oleraceus (garden pea)
Lineage: Eukaryota; Viridiplantae; Streptophyta; Magnoliopsida; Fabales; Fabaceae
Description: Pisum sativum (pea) long non-coding RNA (PSAT_LNC039092)
Source: RNAcentral
CUUAUGGCACAUUAACUACCAACACUAACUAUUGACAAAUUAACAUUUACUUUAUGCACUUUACUUUUAUGCAAUUUACUGUUCUUGCACAUAUUAUCCAUUUGUUUUUCCCUUUGCUCAUUUGAGCACAUGUUUAUGUUAAUGCCAUUUUCCUUUUGCUCACUUGAGCACAUAAUUGUGUAUAUAUUAUGGUGCUUGUGUUUUG